AGAGUUUGAUCAUGGCUCAGAUUGAACGCUGGCGGCAGGCCUAACACAUGCAAGUCGAACGGUAACAGGAAACAGCUUGCUGUUUCGCUGACGAGUGGCGGACGGGUGAGUAAUGUCUGGGAAACUGCCUGAUGGAGGGGGAUAACUACUGGAAACGGUAGCUAAUACCGCAUAACGUCGCAAGACCAAAGAGGGGGACCUUCGGGCCUCUUGCCAUCAGAUGUGCCCAGAUGGGAUUAGCUAGUAGGUGGGGUAACGGCUCACCUAGGCGACGAUCCCUAGCUGGUCUGAGAGGAUGACCAGCCACACUGGAACUGAGACACGGUCCAGACUCCUACGGGAGGCAGCAGUGGGGAAUAUUGCACAAUGGGCGCAAGCCUGAUGCAGCCAUGCCGCGUGUAUGAAGAAGGCCUUCGGGUUGUAAAGUACUUUCAGCGGGGAGGAAGGGAGUAAAGUUAAUACCUUUGCUCAUUGACGUUACCCGCAGAAGAAGCACCGGCUAACUCCGUGCCAGCAGCCGCGGUAAUACGGAGGGUGCAAGCGUUAAUCGGAAUUACUGGGCGUAAAGCGCACGCAGGCGGUUUGUUAAGUCAGAUGAGAAAUCCCCGGGCUCAACCUGGGAACUGCAUCUGAUACUGGCAAGCUUGAGUCUCGUAGAGGGGGGUAGAAUUCCAGGUGUAGCGGUGAAAUGCGUAGAGAUCUGGAGGAAUACCGGUGGCGAAGGCGGCCCCCUGGACGAAGACUGACGCUCAGGUGCGAAAGCGGGGGGAGCAAACAGGAUUAGAUACCCUGGUAGUCCACGCCGUAAACGAUGUCGACUUGGAGGUUGUGCCCUUGAGGCGUGGCUUCCGGAGCUAACGCGUUAAGUCGACCGCCUGGGGAGUACGGCCGCAAGGUUAAAACUCAAAUGAAUUGACGGGGGCCCGCACAAGCGGUGGAGCAUGUGGUUUAAUUCGAUGCAACGCGAAGAACCUUACCUGGUCUUGACAUCCACGGAAGUUUUCAGAGAUGAGAAUGUGCCUUCGGGAACCGUGAGACAGGUGCUGCAUGGCUGUCGUCAGCUCGUGUUGUGAAAUGUUGGGUUAAGUCCCGCAACGAGCGCAACCCUUAUCCUUUGUUGCCAGCGGUCCGGCCGGGAACUCAAAGGAGACUGCCAGUGAUAAACUGGAGGAAGGUGGGGAUGACGUCAAGUCAUCAUGGCCCUUACGACCAGGGCUACACACGUGCUACAAUGGCGCAUACAAAGAGAAGCGACCUCGCGAGAGCAAGCGGACCUCAUAAAGUGCGUCGUAGUCCGGAUUGGAGUCUGCAACUCGACUCCAUGAAGUCGGAAUCGCUAGUAAUCGUGGAUCAGAAUGCCACGGUGAAUACGUUCCCGGGCCUUGUACACACCGCCCGUCACACCAUGGGAGUGGGUUGCAAAAGAAGUAGGUAGCUUAACCUUCGGGAGGGCGCUUACCACUUUGUGAUUCAUGACUGGGGUGAAGUCGUAACAAGGUAACCGUAGGGGAACCUGCGGUUG
RNAcentral lists this ribosomal RNA (1522 nucleotides) under metagenome. Its description in RNAcentral is "bacterial SSU rRNA". It matches the Rfam family "Bacterial small subunit ribosomal RNA". The record is from RNAcentral.